Molecule: RNA transcript, 3858 nt
Organism: Felis catus (domestic cat)
Lineage: Eukaryota; Metazoa; Chordata; Mammalia; Carnivora; Felidae
Exons: 5
Source: RefSeq, a predicted model, not a curated record
UCCCCUGCUCAUGCUCUGUCUGUCUCUCGCACUCUCUCAAAAAUAAAUAAACAUCAAAAUUAAAAAAGGAAAGAAAAGAAAGCGUAGAUCGCCCCACAACCAGAACCCCAACAGCACUUGCUCUAAACAGAAGGUGACCAUGAACAUGAGCAAAGGCGAUCACCAUCCUGCUGCCUGAUGGUUUUCAAGAUGGUAACUCUCUCCCGUUCUUUGGCAAAGGUAGCUAACCCAGACACAUCCGAGACACCUCAGCACCCCGCAGAGACCUUCUCCUCGAAGCAGGCAGGAGAAUGGAAAGAAGAAAGGGACUGACUUUCUUGCUGUCGAGGAUCAUUUGCUGCUGUGUCUGCAUCCGGCCCAGGUCUCUGUAACCAUUUGGGAAAGAUCCUAAAUGAGGACGAUCGCAAACGCCCCAGCAGGGCUCGCUGCGUGUUGCAGGCAAUUCCAGAAGGUUCCUGUAACGCUCAACAGCCCUACGAGGGUGAGGUAGGUGCUGUCAUCAUCCCCACGUGGGACCCAGACAGGUUAAGCAACCUUCCAAAGGUCACACAGCCAAGUGGCGGUGAAGCUGGGGUUUGAACCCCGACCUCCCGCUUAAGUCCUAAUUACCCAGCACGCCUCCUGGGAAACACAGAUCGGUACCCACCAGGGUCCUGGAAAGUUGCAGAGGGCCUCUGCUGUGUUCAAUAGUGUCUCCCCGCCCCCCAGCCCCCCCCAAAAAACAACACUACUGAGUCCUUGGAACGCUGUGUUCUUGGGCUGCUGUGAUAAAGAACCGAACUUGAAAUUUAAUUACAUUUCAACUUAAAGAGCCGCAGGUAAGAGUUUCCUCCCACUGCUGCACAACGAUCACACACAUACCGGCUUAACACAGCGCGAAUUAAUCUUACGGUUCUGGAGGUCCGAAGUCUGAAACGGGCCUCACUGGUCCGACAGCACGGCGUCUGCGGGGCUGUGUCCCUCCUGGAGGCUCUGGACGAGGACCUUUUCUUGCCUCUUCAGCUUCGAGAGGCCGCCUGCAUUCCUCGGCUCGUGGCCCCACAUCGCUGUGCCCUCCGCCUCCUCGUCGAGCCUUCCCCGACUCUGACCCUCCCGCCUCCCUCUGACGAGGACCCGCAAGGCCGGUGGCUGCCGUACUGGACAGGGCAGGUGCCGACCGAUGCUUCCCAAAAGACCUGCUUCUGCUUGGGUCGCUGCCGGGUCCCCUGAGCCAGGCACACGGUCCCCAACGAGCGUGUUCAGUUAGCGACAUUCGAGUACUGCUUCUACAGCACGUGGGUCGAAGGACGCGCUGGGUUCCACCUCGGGGUCCGAGCCAAACUUUGCAAAACGGAGACCCACAUGGUGGGGUGCCUCUCACCGAGGGAAACCGUGCUGUCCCGAGCCCUACUGUGCGCCUUCAAGCAGGCCUCUGUGCCUCGUUGGGCGUCACCUUCCCCAUCUGUAUGAUGAGGGGCAGGGAGGAGCCGUAGAAUAGCUCCCAGCAGCCUCAGGAGGGCGAGGAAAAUGGACGCACAGAAGCCAAGGGGCUGGCCCGAGGGCCAGGUCUCGAAGAAGGGGAAGCCGCCGUCCCAAGUGGAGACUGGUGUGAGACUUCAGAAAGGGUGUGAGAGACGAGCAGGGAGGGUCCCCGCACCAUUUGCGGAAGAGAAGACGGCAGCCUGCCCCCGGGGCCGGAAUCGGUGACUUCUUCAACGCUGUGCCAUCUGCCUGGAUAAGUUCUCCUAAACUUCCUCUGCGCGUCGAACUUCUACUCAUCCUUCAAGACCCAGUUCGAAUGUUUCCUUCUUUUUUUUUUUUCGAUGUUUCCUCUGGGGUGUGGAUCCAAGUCCCCUGGCCCGAACGUCGACGCUCUGAUGCGGCCAUCCACACGCGCUCACCACUCGCGCGCACACCUGCCCGCACACACGCGCGUCCCGGAGCACAAACACACACACACACACACACACACGAGGGUAUACCAGGCGUACCGUCUGCGGGCCCGCGCACGAGUGCACAUGGACCUCCGUGGGGGCCGUGCACGCACACGCUCCCACACCGAGGCCUGCACCCACGCACCAGCUCUGCACACACGUCCCCGGGACGGUGCAGGGGGCACACACAAACACCAGGGCGUGUGUCCUCGCACACGGACGUCCGCAGAAACGUUGCCACGGACCGUGAACACAGUCGCAGACAGAAAAGUACGGAGCUCCUGCCUGCGAACCGGGACGUCUAGGACUUCCCUGUCCCCCCACACACCCACAGACACCCAGAGGCACACGCACGCACACACGUGCACACCCACGGACGCGCUCCUGUCCUGCGUCCCCGGGGCCUCACUCUCUGCUCCACGGCUGCGGCGGUGGGGCCCGGAGGGCUGACACCGGCUCCUUCCGGUCUCGGUCGACCACGGGGAGGAGGAAAACUCGGCCGGCCGGCCGUCUGGCCUCGUCUAGGGCGGGGGAUGGGAAACCCCCCGGGCCCAGCCCUCGACGCCCUGCUCGCGCUCCUCUUGCCGCCCGCCGGCCCAGGGCCUCCGGGACCCUCCGGGGCCGGACGCAGAGCCGACGCGUCCCGCGGUGCCCAGGUGAGACCCAGAAGCGUGGGGACGGGCCAGGGCCCCACCCCCGCGGCCCCACCGAACAGAGAGGAAGAGGAAGUACAGCGUGGGCCUGUGUGGGGGCGCCGGCCCAGACAGCCUCCUGUGCAGCCAGAUGGCCGGCCAUCUGCGGUCCCCUCCUCCUCGCGGCGUGGCCAGACCGGGUGCCCGGGCGAGCCUCCUCAAAGCUGGCAGAGCGUGUUAGGGCCAUGUGCUGCCUGGCAGGCUGGGGGCUGCGCCCCGGGGAGAGGCGACCGGACGCGCGGACAGCCGGGCAGAGGCAGGCCCGCCGGGCCCAGCUGCUGCGGCCCCUUCUGCGGCCCCGCCUCUCGCCUCCUAAGAUGGGGCAAUCGGGGAAGGCUUCUCAGAGGAAGGGGCACGGAGAGAGACCCGGUUGGAGUAAAGAGCCAGCACUGAGGCCCCCAGGGGAAGGGACCGGCCCGGAAAGACCCGAGGUGGACAGGCUUGGUGUGUCCAACACCCCGGGGAGUCCAGGCCCCUGGGCUGGCACAGAUCCACAAAACAGGAUGGGGGGUUUCUCAGCGGUGCAGGUGUCACCAGCCCCGUUCUACAGACAAGGAAACCGAGGCUCAGAGAGGAGGACCUUGCCCAAGAAGCCACGAGGCAGAAGGCACAGCUGGAGGCCAGAACACGGGGGCUGCUAGAGCUUCUGCUUCAGAGGGAGAAAGGUUGUGGGGCUCACUCGACCCCCCUCUGAGCCAGAAUCGAGAAAUCCCGGAGGAGGCAGAGACCUCGGGGCCCCUGGGCCGUCUGAAUGCCUCUUUCCGAGGGUCCCAGCCCUGCCUCAAGCAUCCCCACUCGCCCCGGCGGCCAGAACCGCGCCUGCAUUCACCCUGAUAAUGAUGAAGGUUUAUGUUUUCCAUAAGAAGUCCUGCGGUGGAGGAACUUCUGAGCAGGCUGGUUCGGCAGCCCAGUGGUGGCGUCCGGACCAGGGUCUCUCCCUGUAUGUCCUCUGUCACCCUCAGUACGGAUCACUCCCCUCAUGCCCCAAAAUGGCUGCAGCAGAUCCAGUCAUCACAUCCCACCAGGACAAACUGCAGCCCAAGAUGAGCCAGCCAUAUCUUCCUCGUGUUUCUCUCUUUUUCAAGAGCAAACCAAGAUUCCCCAUAACCCCCCACUGGAGCCCCUUUCACACCUCACUGGUUUCAGUUGGGUCACACGCGAGGGGCACAGGACAGCCAUUGACUGGCUCAGACCAAGGGUCAGCAAAUCUGGCCCCAAGUCCGCCUGUGUAAAUAAAGAUUUAUUGGUACGCA